This is an RNA transcript of Pan troglodytes (chimpanzee), 5887 nucleotides long. It is a transcript of the gene named family with sequence similarity 110 member C, with no coding region annotated. The transcript is spliced from 3 exons. NCBI's taxonomy places the organism in Eukaryota, Metazoa, Chordata, Mammalia, Primates, Hominidae. The record is from RefSeq and is a predicted model, not a curated record.
GUCGGGAGGGGCGGGAACUGGGGAGUUUCGCCAAUCGGUGCAGACUCCGGUUCUCCCCAACCCCGGGCCUGGGCAGCUGGGCACUGGGGCGCCGUUCCCCACCCGGCGCGGACUUCGGAACCGGCCCUGGGACUGACUGGCUCUACCACUCGAGCGCGUCUCCGCUGGACCCGGAACCCCAGUCGGUCCAUUCCCCGCGAAGAUGCGCGCCCUGGCGGCCCUGAACGCGCCCCCGAACGAGCGGCUCCUUCCCCGGGACCCCGCGGCUACCCGGGACCCCGACGCCGCGCGACCGGCGCGCAGGAGCGCAGUGGAGAGGCUGGCGGCGGAUCGCGCCAAGUAUGUGCGGGGUCGGCCGGGGACUGGCCGGGGCGUCGCUUCCGAGGGCAGCGGCCCAGGGGCUAUCAAGUGCCCGGGGAACGACCCUGGGCCCCCGGCCCGCGCCCCGGCCCCGGUGGCGCGCAGGGCUAUUGCGCGGAAGCCGUUGAGACCGGACUCGCUGAUCAUCUACCGGCAGAAAUGCGAAUUCGUGCGAGGAUCGGGCGCCGACGGCCCCAGGGCAAGCCUGGUGAAGAAGCUCUUCCAGGGGCCGGGUAAGGACAAGGCGCCGGUGCCCCAGACGGGAGACGAGGGCAAGGCCGGGAACCCGGAGACCGUCCCGACCACUCCUGGCCCCGCAGCGGACCCCGCAACCCCCGAGACCCCAGCCCCAGCCGCGCGGUCCGCGGCGCCCUCCAGUGUCCCGGCCGCGCCCCCUGGCCCAGAGCUGCGGGUGGUGAGGCGUCGGGGGCUGCAGCGCUCGCAGUCGGACCUCAGCUCCCGCUAUUCCGCUGCCUUGGCCGAGUCUGACACCUUCUUCCAGUACUGCGGCCUGGACCCCGAGGUGGUGGAGGCCCUGGGGAGGGAGAACUUCACCGCGGGGUCGGACUGUGUGACCCUCAAGGUGCGCAGCGUGAGCGUCGCCACCUCCGGCAGCGGCUUCUCCCGGCACAGCGGCGGCGACGACGAGGGGCUGCAGGAGGAGGAGCUGAUAGAGCAGGUGCCCAGCACCACUUCGGUCAUCGAGAGGAACGCCCGCAUCAUCAAGUGGCUGUACACCUGUAAGAAGGCCAAGGAGACCCCCAGCCAGGAGCAGAGCCGGACCCGAGGAAGUAACCUCCCUUUGGACAACCAGCAGUGCCGGAUUGACCUCGAGCUCUUUUUGCUUUUCACUGGGGAACUGAGGAGUGCUGGUCUUCACUGUUACCUGCUCUUCCCUAUGGGCGUCUUGGAAAGUAGUGAAGAGAAAGAACCUUUUCAGGGCUGUCUUUGAGAACGAACAAUUUAAACUUUGCGACAUCUUUUUUUUCCUCUUACCCUUCAAUGACAACUUGCUAUAAGUAAAUUUUAAAAAUCAUGAGAUGAAAUUAUUUUCUGCCACUGUGAUAAACUAAGUGAAGAUGCAUGGCAGCCUGUAGAGUUUGGGGGAGGCUGCCCAAGAGAUGUUUGCACAGGGCUCACCUAUGUUUGACAGCUAAAAAUAUCUCCAAUAAUUUAUCUGGCUAUGACUUUAGUACAGACAUGAAAAUUAAUGAGAAGAAGAUAAUUCAUUCUUUUUCUUGAACUCAGAAGGCUCAGGACUUAAGUUCUUCCUUAUAAUUUAUAGAAGAUUUGUGUUUUCCACUAGCCUAAGUUCCCAACAAAUAUAUAUAGGCAAAGUUCUAAAAAGCAAGCAAACAUUAACUUGUAGUUUUCACAAAUUGUCCUUUGGAUCUGAGAUGAAUGAAUGAAUGCUGGCAAGGGUAUUUCCAUGAUGGCACCAUGUGUAGGGCAGGAGCUUUGGAGAGUGGCCAGGUCCGUGGAGGGACAGUGUCUGGUGGAUAGAGCACUAAACCAGAAUUAAGGGCCUGUCUUAUGUUAGCAAAUGAUUCCUGCACUAUAGACCAGGCGUCCUUUGUCCAUAAAAAGAAGGGAGAUAGGCGGAUGGUUUUCAACCUCUGCAUUUUCUAGUCUGUGUAGUAAUAAUCUGUGUUGCAUGACUGAAACCCAGAAAUGGAAAACAAACAAAAAAAGGUUGUCUAUUGAAGUACGUGAGAAGUAAAUUUAUGAAUAAGCUCCCUCCAGGUAGCCAUAGCACGUGCAGGCAGUAGGUAGACUUGGUGGUAUAAAUAGUGGGGAGGUAAUAAUGUGGCAUACAAAUGAAACCAAAGUAAAACCUGACAACAUAAAAAUAAAAGCAGCCUGCUCUGAUCCCUCCAGACCCAGGCUGGUUCCCAUCUCGAAUUAGCCAAUGUCAAAAGAGUGACCUGAAUGAGAAUUUAGUUGACUUCAUAGACUAAAUCCUAAAGACCUUUUAGGCUUGGACCUAUGAAAAAUAUAAGAAGUUUAGUUAGCUUGUGAGGACUUUCACUUUUAUGACAAAGAGAAAUAGUUGAAGGAAGAGGGAAAGUGAGAGCAGGUUUGGGAAGGCACUAAGGAUGGAGGCAGGAAAAAGGCUCAUGGGCUUCUUCCUCCCCUCAUGUCUCCCUCCACCUGAAUCCCGUUUGUUCCAGACUGGAGACAAUGGCAACUGUCUUCUGAGAAGUUUCACAUUAUUUCUCAGAGCAGGGGGACAGUCCCACAGAAGCUACCCCAGUUUUUAUAUGGAAUUGGCAGUCACCAGCACUAUAAAGAUUUUCUUUACUAAUGUGCUUCCCUAGACCCAAAACAGCACAGGCCUCUUUGAAACUGCAAUGCAGAGACUUACUGCCCGGCUACCAGGGGUGGGGGGUAUGAGGAGAACAGAGUUGCCUGGGCUUUCUCCAGAUCACUGGAACAGUGUCUGCUCAUGACCUUAGCCCCUCCACAGCUCCCCACCUCCCAGCACUGGUGUUCCCACUGGAGGAGACCAGCAGGGAAAGUCACGACAGAGUGUGAACACCUGGUCAGUGGGGCGGUCCUCUGACUUCCUGCAGAAGUCCCUUGUUCUGAGACCAGUUCUGCAACUUCUGGAAGAUGUGGAAGCAGGAAUUUAAGCUGUGCUUUUUCUGCUGAAAUUUAUAAGGAUUCAUUUUAGGAUUUCUUGAAAGAUUCAGAAAACUUGAGACGAACAAAGGAAGCAAACCUUCCCGAUGAUGAAGACUUCUUGAAGGAUUUCAUGGGUGAUUUGGGAUCCCAGGACCAUUUGGCUAGUGUGCCUAGGUGACCACAUGAUAGCUGUUUUACCAGGAAUGCAGCAUCCCAUUGACAAAACAAGUGCUCUGAGAAGGUUUAAAAUACUACAGAGAAUAUGGGAACACAGAUCUUGAAAUUUAGCUGAGUUGUAACAGCUGAAACUCUAAGAGGUGUCUUCCUUGUUUGAGGUGAAACUAGUGUUGCUUCCAGAGGGCAGCUGGAAACCGUAAAGCUGUUUGGAAAUCUUUUUGACUGACUUGCUGACAAAGAGAUACUGUGAUGCAUUUUAACAAUAUCUAAGUUGAUUUUUUUUUAAAUCAAGGAAAAUAAAAACCAAGCAUGAAUGCUAUGGUAUGUGCCCCUUUUGACCAUCCUGGGCUGAUUAGCAUCAUUUAAAUCAAAGUAAUCAUAAAAAGGCAUAUUCUACUUCAAUUCUGUGGUCAAAAAAGAGUAAACACACACACUCACACAUGCUGACCCCAAUUGCCAGAGCAUUACUGCACUAUAAAUUACGGUUAAUUCCCAAAUUAUACUACUGUUUAUCUUAUUUAACAAGUCAGAAAGCACUUUUAAAAUAACUUGAGGGCUACAAGGUCAUUCUAUUAAUGUCAUUCUCCAUUCGGGUUGUAGGCAUGUGGAAGUACCCAUUAAAAGAUAAGUUAGAGUUUAAACACUGAUAAACAAAACCUUUUAUUGCAACUGGACAGUUUCUGGAGAGUUAGCGGAAGAAUCUUGGAGUUUCCUUUGGUCAGAUGAAUACAACAUUUCACUUUUGCAGCACUAUUUAGAAUGUACUCCAUGGUUCUCUUGUUCCCAACUUCCAAAAAGAACAGAAAACUUUGGUUUACACAGAACACGGGCAUCUGAGGCAGGACCUCUUCCUUGCCCUUUGAUCUGACUCACACCUCCACAUAUGACGUAAUCAACCCAAAUUUGACACCAAUUCACUCUUUUCUGCAAAGGGCAUAUUUUGAAACAAGGGACAGCCUGAGGGCGGCUGUAAUGAGAAUGUUCAUGGGGGUUACUGGGUCCCUAAUUCUGAACUUGCUUAUGACACCCAGAAUGAAUAGAUUCAGAUUCAGAACCUUCUGAGAAAUAACCCAAAGAAAAUUUGUUACCCAGCCAAUUCUUCGAAAGCUUAAUAUCAAAAUAUAUCUUUUCAAGAAGAAAAUCGUUAGAGAGAAGAAUGUGGAGGGGAGAGAAAUGGGUUUCUCAUUGAUAUGAUAUUUUGUUAACCAUUUCAUUUUGAAUUAUUCAAGUUUUGGUUAAUAUUGUAUUCUAUUUUCGCAACUAUUUUACCGUGAGAGUAGGUCAUUGGGUUACUUAGAUAUUUAUUUUUACACAGUUAUUAGUCUUCAGAUAGUUUUAUUUUACUUCAUAUGAUUUUAGUUUUUGUCAGUAUAAUUUUAAAUCAUGUUUUUCUUGGUCAUCUCUUUGUGUAUAUUGUGUAAUUGGAUUUUCAUUGACUGCAAGUGGAGUGUUUGCCACUCAAUUCAGUACUCAGUACUAUGGUGACUUGUUUUCAAAUAAGUCUCAGAUACACGUUUAGGGAGCCUUUGCUGGCCGAAUAUAGACUCUGUCAGGACAGCAGGUCCCCUGAUCUAAGAAUUUUCCCCAAUGGUUGCUCUAAAAAUGCUGCUAUUUUGCUGUUCACUGUAUUGCACUUAGGUAAAAAGAAGAUAAUGUGAAAGAUGAGAGCAGUUUUUUAAAGGAUCUUUUCAUAUACCCAAUUCCCUUAUUUUCAGAUGUCCCAUCAAUUUUAGAUAUGAAAGCUUUAAGUAAAAGUGUGUAUGCCCUUCUACUGUCAGAACAGGAUGGAUGCAGCCUGGGUCAGAUUUAUUUGAGAUAAAAAUCAUGCAGACUCAUCAUUCAUAUCAUAGGUGAAAAAUGUAAAAACAAAAUGGUUUCCACUAAAGCCACCAAGAUCUUUUAGAAAUGUUUGCACCUUUGGUGGUGGCACAGGAAAAGAGAAGAAUUCAGCUGGAGUGAAUUCUAGAAGUAGAUAUCAGAAACGGGGCAUGAAGAACAGGGGAACUGGGUGGCAUCAGACUCCUAAAGAAGUGAGUUAAUUUUCCUUCCCUUCCAUUCAGAUUCAUGCCACAGCUCCAUAUCUUGAGUAUGUGUAAGAGGUGAGUUCUUUCUUCAGCCAGGGGCGGUGGCUCAUGCCUUUAAUCCCAAUGCUUUGGGAGGCCAAGGUGGGAGGAUCACUUGUGCCUUGGGGUUCAAGGCUGCAGUGAACCACGAUUGCACCACUGCACUCCAGCCUGAGUGACAGAGCAAGACCCUGUCUCUAAAAAUAUAUAUAAAAAGUAAAACUAAAGAACUUCUUGCCUAAACCUGAAUUACCGCAAUUUGCUGAGUGACUUUGAGAAAAAUCAGACUGUUUAGUUCAGUCGGGAUGAAAAGCUUGCGAUUGCUUCCCACAAGAAUGGGCAAUAGUGACGGCUGCAAGGUACUUUUAUUUGUUCAUGAAAGAACGACAAUUUUUCAAAAUGUAAUUAAACAUAAUAGAAUGUUUUAAACUACUGGGCACUGAAACUGGAAGAAAAAGGAGGCUUUAUUGAACAUUCCCCUUUUUCAGUUGGUUCAAAGUUCAGCACUGUGGUUAUCAUUGGUGAUGCCAGAAAACAUUAGUAGACUUAGACAAUUGCUAUGGCAGUUUCUAAACAGAGCUUUUUCUAUACACUAUUUGCAACUGGAGUGCAAUAUUGUAUAUUCUGUGUUAAAGAAAUAAAGUAUUUUUAUCAUUUAUUAA